This 29-nucleotide non-coding RNA is filed under the name Mus musculus (house mouse). The record is from RNAcentral. Lineage: Eukaryota; Metazoa; Chordata; Mammalia; Rodentia; Muridae.
UCCUAUCACACAGAAGGAGCAGGACCAUG